Antechinus flavipes (yellow-footed antechinus) is the source of this 919-nucleotide long non-coding RNA. RefSeq lists it as uncharacterized. The record is from RefSeq and is a predicted model, not a curated record. The transcript is spliced from 3 exons. Lineage: Eukaryota; Metazoa; Chordata; Mammalia; Dasyuromorphia; Dasyuridae.
GGUCAAAAGCAGCCUUCAGCGACUGACCCAGUACUAAUGGAGGCCCCUCCAAGGAACCAUGGACUCCCAGGCCUCCAGCUAGACUGAACUCCAGUUCUGGAAUUUGCAGCCCAAGGGCCCAGCCUGGGAAGAGGCCUUUGGCAGGUGGGAGGAGUGCUGCUUGGGAGAGGAGGUAAUCGGGCAGGCAGACGAGCAGAGAAGACUGGAAUGGGCCAUCUCAUCCAGUGAUCCUGGCCUUAUAUGGAGAUUCCCACGGCAAAGCACUCCCAGCCCUCAGCUGUUUUCCACCCCAGCAGACUGUGCUUGGCCAGGGAAGACAGAUCCGCCUGCUCAGCCCGGUUUAACUACUUUUCUACCAAAGGCAGACCAGGAUGCAUUAUUGAAAUGAUGUAGCCAGAAAGUCCCUUCCAUUUAAGAGAAGAGACUGGACUGGAACUGUGACUUGAGUGGUAGGAGCUCAAUCACUGAAAGCAGAUUAAUGGACUGCAUCUCUCAACGCAGGCAGUGUGGCCCAGGGGACAACCAGACAGAACUCUGUGAAGCAUACUACUAUCAGGAAGAUCUGAAUUCAAAUGCUGCCUCCAAAACAUAUUAGCUUGGUAACUAAGCUAUUUAACAUCUCAAUAGCCCUAAAAAACUUUCUAAAAUGAAAAACUGUAUAGAUGGGUCUUAUUUGUAUUGGUAAAAAGAAUUUCUUCACUGGGAGCGCCCCAAAACAGAUGAAAUCAAAGAUCUAGUCCAAAUUAUUUAUCCUAUAAAAUUUACAAUAUAAAGAUCUGUGAUUUCUUCUAUAUGUGCUACUAAUGUGGUAAUUCUCUCCAGUAAAAAGGAUCACAGCUCAUCCAGAAAGUAUAGACUUAGAGAGUUGUUUCAAAGAAAUAAAUAGCUAACUUUAAAAAAAAACAAAAAACCUGAUCUU